Molecule: ribosomal RNA, 253 nt
Filed under: uncultured bacterium
Lineage: Bacteria
Description: partial 16S ribosomal RNA
Rfam family: Bacterial small subunit ribosomal RNA
Source: RNAcentral
UACAGAGGGUGCGAGCGUUAAUCGGAAUUACUGGGCGUAAAGCGUGCGCAGGCGGUUUUGUAAGCCAGAUGUGAAAUCCCCGGGCUUAACCUGGGAAUGGCAUUUGGGACUGCAAGGCUUGAGUGCGGCAGAGGAGACUGGAAUUCCUGGUGUAGCAGUGAAAUGCGUAGAUAUCAGGAGGAACACCGAUGGCGAAGGCAGGUCUCUGGGCUGACACUGACGCUCAUGCACGAAAGCGUGGGGAGCAAACAGG